UGGUUGAUCCUGCCAGUAAUGAUAUGCUUGACUCAAAGAUUAAGCCAUGCAUGUAUCAGUUCAAGCCCUAGUACGGCUAAACCGCAUAUGGCUCAUUAAAUCAGCUAUGAUUUCUUAGAUCUUACAUCCCUACUUGGAUAACUGUGGUAAUUCUAGAGCUAAUACAUGCCCAUCGUGUCUUUAACCUUCUGGUUAGAGCGGUUUUAUUAGUACAAAACCAACCAGCCUUCGGGUUGCAGGUUUGAUGACUCUGGAUAACUUACCUGAUCGCAUGGCCUUGUGCCGGCGACGUAUCUUUCAAGUAUCUGCCCUAUCAACUUUAGAUGGUAGGUUAUAUGCCUACCAUGGUUAUAACGGGUAACGGGGAAUCAGGGUUCGAUUCCGGAGAGGGAGCCUUAGAAAUGGCUGCUACAUCUAAGGAUGGCAGCAGGCGCGCAACUUACCCACUGCUAGUGGCAGCGAGGUAGUGACGAAAAAUAACAAUACGGAACUCUUAUGAGGCUCCGUAAUUGGAAUGAGUACAAUUUAAAUCCUUUAACGAGGAACAAUUGGAGGGCAAGUCUGGUGCCAGCAGCCGCGGUAAUUCCAGCUCCAAUAGCGUAUAUUAAAAUUGUUGCAGUUAAAAAGCUCGUAGUUGGAUCUCAGGUAGUGAGUGUUGGGUGCAGCUUCUUGCUGUUACUCGGCACUCCUCCUUAUGAGUCGGAUAGCAGUGGCUAGUGCUCUUUAUUGAGUUGCUAGCUACGCACGGCAUGUUUACUUUGAAAAAAUUAGAGUGCUCAAAGCAGGCUAUAUUGCCUGAAUAAUUAUGCAUGGAAUAAUGGAAUAAGACUCUGCUGCUAUUUUGUUGGUUUUCAGUAAUCAAUGCAGAGUAAUGAUUAAAAGAAGUAGAGCGGGGGCUAAAGUAUGGUCGCGCUAGAGGUGAAAUUCUUGGACCGUGGCCAGACUAACUACUGCGAAAGCAUUUGCCAAGGAUGCCUUCAUUAAUCAAGAACGAAAGUCAGAGGUUCGAAGACGAUCAGAUACCGUCCUAGUUCUGACUAUAAACUAUGCCAAUUUAGCAUUGGAACAUUCAUUUUUUUUCGUUCCAGCACUCCCAGGGAAACCUUAAUGAGGUUCUGGGGGGAAUAUGGUCGCAAGGAGGAAACUUAAAGGAAUUGACGGAAAGACACCACAAGGCGUGGAGCCUGCGGCUUAAUUUGACUCAACACGGGGAAUCUUUCCCGGGCAGGACACUGUAAGGAUUGACAGAUUGAUAGUUCUUUCAUGAUUCGGUGGAUGGUGGUGCAUGGCCGUUCUUAGUUGGUGGAGUGAUUUGUCUGGUUAAUUCCGAUAACGAACGAGACUCACGCCUGCUAAAUAGUACACUCACAUGUGGUUUAUGCCAUACGUGAUGAGUGACUAGACUUCUUAGAGGGAUUGAUGGCAAUUUGUCAUAUGAAAUCGAGCAAUAACAGGUCUGUGAUGCCCUUAGAUGUCCGGGGCCGCACGUGCGCUACAAUGACAGUGACAGAGAGUCUCCUUGGCCGAAAGGUCCGGGUAAUCUUUUAAUCACUGUCUCGUCAGGGAUCAGGGUUUGUAAUUAUCCCCUGUGAACGAGGAAUGCCUAGUAAGUGCAAGUCAUCAACUUGUACUGAUUACGUCCCUGUCUUUUGUACACACCGCCCGUCGCUACUACCGAUU
This is a ribosomal RNA of 1680 nucleotides. It matches the Rfam family "Eukaryotic small subunit ribosomal RNA".